UCUUCCUUCCUCUUCUUUGGUUUUUCCUGCCAUGCAUGUUCUUGGCUUUCAGUGUUCUUUCAUUCUCUCUCUGAUAUCCUCCUAAUAGUUCCUUGAUGGCAUCUGUUCAUGUGGUUCCAUCACUCAAAUGUGGUUUACAUAAUGAUUAUUCGUCACCUUCCUUUGCAGCUUUUCAUCUGUAAAAAUAAAGAUCAAAACUUGCUUUAUGUGCAUUUACCUUUAUCAGACUUGACUGUAAUGCACUUGUGCUUGUGGCAAUGACCAAUCCACCCUUUCUUCUGACUACUGUUAGAGCUUGGUGAACUCAUCACAGGAACACAAGAAGCAAAUGGAGAGCAUAAAGUUGGGCAGGCACAGGAAAAGCGUUCGGGAGAUUCCUAAGUGUUGGCAUGCUUUUGGGGCCUUCAUUAACACAGUUUGUAAGUUGAUGUACAACGAGAUCAGAGCAAUCUGGGCUUAAACAUCAAUUAUUCUUUCCUUGAUAGUUAAGCUACAGCAAAGCCAAGCUGACACUGGCAUCAGAUUACAUGACAAAGGCCUUCUCAAGAAGCUCCGGUGUUGGAUCAUCAUCUGUGGCCUUGGUUUCAAGCAUGAACUUGCAUUAAAAUGUUGCUCUCGAGCUUAAACAGAUGAUUCCAUGAUGUAAUUUGAGAAUGAGGAGCAGAAAAUCUAGAUCCAGAUAGCAGCCAACUCGGAACAAUUUAGCUUGUGGUGUUUUUGCCUGACUGACUUCUCUCCUAAAACAAAUUCUCAAUCAAAGUUAUCACAACAUUCAGAGAAUUUAAAGUUAGCACAAGGCUAGUCAUGGUGGUCUCUCGUGCCACGCUGAGCCAAUCCUGAAACCGGAGCACGUUGGAGAAGGAAGGAAGGAAGGCCUCGGUCGUUGCAGAGCAGCACCAUGAAUGGCUUCGGCGACAAGACAAAGAUUUGGCAUGACAACUCCACUCCAUCAGGAACAAGCGACAGGGAUGCAGCAUGGAAGGACUUCGGCUCAUCCAUGAGUGCACUCUCCUUCGGCUUCCUUGCAACGGCGAUCUUGGUGUCCAUGUUCCUAAUCAUGGCAAUCUUCGAACAUUUACUUCGAUCGAGAGCCUCUAGUCCACCACCCCAAUCCAAUGCUCAUGGAGAACUGGAUCAGAUGCAUUCGGAGAAGAUCAAGAAGUCGCAAAAUGUGGCACCUUUGGAUUCGGUCGAGUUCUCGGUCUUGAUGCCAGGGCAGCAUUAUCCAACCUACAUUGCUCAACCAGCUCCUCUCCCUUGCCCAAGAGAAGGCAUCAUCAGUUGGCCUUCUCGUGACCACCAUGCUUUGGCUUCUCCCUAGCUUUUCUCAGAGAAUCCCCAAUUGAUCCAUUCAUGUCUUCCACAAGCUCAUACGCUUAUUUGUGUGAGGCCUUCCUUCAACAACACUUUCUCAUUCCUAUCAAUCACCCCAUCAACAAAGAACAGAUAUUAAAUGGUGUUUCCCAGUCCGACUGCGUAUUCUUCAUUCUCUGUUCAGCAGAUUAGAAUCA
This is an RNA transcript of Musa acuminata AAA Group (dessert banana), 1511 nucleotides long. RefSeq lists it as uncharacterized. Lineage: Eukaryota; Viridiplantae; Streptophyta; Magnoliopsida; Zingiberales; Musaceae. The record is from RefSeq and is a predicted model, not a curated record. The transcript has 4 exons.